AGGGUUCGAUUCUGGCUCAGAACGAACGCUGGCGGCAGGCUUAACACAUGCAAGUUGAACGGGAUUUAUGAUAGCUUGCUAUUAUAAAUGAGAGUAGCGCACUGGUGAGUAACACGUGGGAACAUGCCUUUUGGUGGGGGACAACAGUUGGAAACGACUGCUAAUACCGCAUAAGCCCGGAAGGGGAAAGAUUAAUUGCCGAAAGAUUGGCCCGCGGAAGAUUAGGUAGUUGGUGGGGUAAAGGCCUACCAAGCCGACGAUCUAUAGCUGGUCUGAGAGGACGAACAGCCACAUUGGAACUGAGACACGGUCCAGACUCCUACGGGAGGCAGCAGUGAGGAAUAUUGGGCAACGGAGGCAACUCUCGACCCAGCCAUGCCGCGUGAGUGAAGAAGGUCUUCGAAUUGUAAAGCUCUUUCGGGUGUGACGAUGAUGACGGUAACACCUAAAGAACGCCCCGGCAAACUUCGUGCCAGCCGCCGC
Molecule: ribosomal RNA, 483 nt
Filed under: uncultured bacterium
Lineage: Bacteria
Description: bacterial SSU rRNA
Rfam family: Bacterial small subunit ribosomal RNA
Source: RNAcentral